This 617-nucleotide ribosomal RNA is filed under the name Trichoderma harzianum. RNAcentral describes it as "eukaryotic LSU rRNA". The stretch from base 250 to 403 matches the Rfam family "5.8S ribosomal RNA". The record is from RNAcentral. Lineage: Eukaryota; Fungi; Ascomycota; Sordariomycetes; Hypocreales; Hypocreaceae.
AAGUCGUAACAAGGUCUCCGUUGGUGAACCAGCGGAGGGAUCAUUACCGAGUUUACAACUCCCAAACCCAAUGUGAACGUUACCAAACUGUUGCCUCGGCGGGAUCUCUGCCCCGGGUGCGUCGCAGCCCCGGACCAAGGCGCCCGCCGGAGGACCAACCUAAAACUCUUAUUGUAUACCCCCUCGCGGGUUUUUUUUAUAAUCUGAGCCUUCUCGGCGCCUCUCGUAGGCGUUUCGAAAAUGAAUCAAAACUUUCAACAACGGAUCUCUUGGUUCUGGCAUCGAUGAAGAACGCAGCGAAAUGCGAUAAGUAAUGUGAAUUGCAGAAUUCAGUGAAUCAUCGAAUCUUUGAACGCACAUUGCGCCCGCCAGUAUUCUGGCGGGCAUGCCUGUCCGAGCGUCAUUUCAACCCUCGAACCCCUCCGGGGGGUCGGCGUUGGGGAUCGGCCCUCCCUUAGCGGGUGGCCGUCUCCGAAAUACAGUGGCGGUCUCGCCGCAGCCUCUCCUGCGCAGUAGUUUGCACACUCGCAUCGGGAGCGCGGCGCGUCCACAGCCGUUAAACACCCAACUUCUGAAAUGUUGACCUCGGAUCAGGUAGGAAUACCCGCUGAACUUAA